ACGCUGGCGGCGUGCUUAAUACAUGCAAGUCGAGCGGGGUUACUGCGACAGAUCCCUUCGGGGUGACGUUGCUUUAACCUAGCGGCGGACGGGUGAGUAACGCGUGGGUAACCUACCCUAAAGCUCGGGAUAACAGUGGGAAACCGCUGCUAAUACCGGAUGACUUUAACCUAUGGCAUCAUGGGUUAAAGAAAGAUUUAUCGCUUUAGGAUGGGCCCGCGUCCCAUUAGCUAGUUGGUGAGGUAACGGCUCACCAAGGCGACGAUGGGUAGCCGGCCUGAGAGGGUGUACGGCCACACUGGGACUGAGACACGGCCCAGACUCCUACGGGAGGCAGCAGUGGGGAAUCUUCCGCAAUGGGCGCAAGCCUGACGGAGCAAUGCCGCGUGAGUGACGAAGGCCUUCGGGUUGUAAAACUCUGUCCUUAGGGAAGAACGGUCUAUAUGUGAAUAAUGUAUAGAAAUGACGGUACCUAAGGAGGAAGCCCCGGCUAACUACGUGCCAGCAGCCGCGGUAACACGUAGGGGGCGAGCGUUGUCCGGAAUCACUGGGCGUAAAGAGCACGUAGGCGGAUUAUUAAGUCAGAUGUGAAAACUCU
This 598-nucleotide ribosomal RNA is filed under the name uncultured bacterium. RNAcentral's name for it is "bacterial SSU rRNA". It matches the Rfam family "Bacterial small subunit ribosomal RNA", at positions 33 to 604 of the family's 1533-position model. The record is from RNAcentral.